GGGUCAUACCAGUUUGAAACACCAGUUUCUGUAAGAUCUCCGAAGUGAAGCAACGUAGAGACUACUUAGUAUAUAGACGGGUGACUGCUUGGUAAUACCAAGUGCU
Non-coding RNA from Acanthosepion pharaonis, 106 nucleotides. The record is from the annotation of a GenBank genome assembly. Lineage: Eukaryota; Metazoa; Mollusca; Cephalopoda; Sepiida; Sepiidae.